GUGACUGAGGGGGGCGUGGGGGGGGAAAUACGAAGGGGCGCAGUGUGAGCCGGAUGGGUGGGGCGUAAAGCGAGCGGGGAUGGUGAAGUAAGGCGUAAGUGGGAGACCUGAGCGCAACUGAGGAAGUGCGUUGGAAACUGGAGGAGUGGGGUGAAGUAGAGGAAAGUGGAACUCCAGGUGUAGCGGUGAAAUGCGUAGAUAUAUGGAAGAACACCAGUGGCGAAGGCGGCUUUCUGGACUGUAACUGACGUUGAGGCUCGAAAGUGUGGGGAGCAAACAGGAUUAGAUACCCGUGUAGUC
RNAcentral lists this ribosomal RNA (300 nucleotides) under uncultured Bacillus sp. RNAcentral describes it as "bacterial SSU rRNA". The stretch from base 61 to 300 matches the Rfam family "Bacterial small subunit ribosomal RNA", at positions 556 to 795 of the family's 1533-position model. Lineage: Bacteria; Bacillati; Bacillota; Bacilli; Caryophanales; Bacillaceae. The record is from RNAcentral.